Molecule: transfer RNA, 70 nt
Filed under: Marmota monax (woodchuck)
Lineage: Eukaryota; Metazoa; Chordata; Mammalia; Rodentia; Sciuridae
Description: tRNA.Val
Source: RNAcentral
GGGCUGGGGCUCAGUGGCUGAGGGCUCGCCUCACAUGCGUGAGGCACUGGGUUCGAUCCUCAGCACCACA